CAAAGACCUUGUUCUCCAGGUUUCAACAGCUGAUGAAGAGAAUCUGUGGGUCUAUACCAUUGCCAAUAAAAAAAGAAAAAGAAAUACCAGAUCAAGGGAAGAUAAAAUUUACUGACAACUCUUGCCACCACUGCCACAAGACCACCAGGGUCAGCACCGCAAACUGCCAGAAUACGAGUUCAACACAGGGUUACUUAGGUGUACACGACUGUUUGUUUAAAUGAGAACCCGGAUCGGUUUCCCCACCAUUGGAGGUAAGACAACUCUUUUUGCAUAACCACCAGAUAGGGCACUACACAAGGUAUUUUACACAUAUUAGGUGGGAUGGCACAACAGAUUCCAAGCUUUAGCAUUACCAGACCAAGUGUGCUUCCAGCCUCUCUGCAUAUAAGCUGAGUUAUCUUGAAUAACAUAUUUGUCCUCUUUGAGUCUGAGUUUCCUCAUCUCUAAAAUAUGUACAUUUCUGACUAACUUGUUAGGAUUAAAGAGAGAAAGCAUCUAGUUUAUAAUACUGGAGACAUGAUAAAUAUUAGCAAUUAUUUUGUCACCUAAUUAGUAGACAGUUGUCUAUAUUUGCAGUUUUUAAAACACGUAAUGAAAUACAACAAAAAGAUUAUUGGCAAAAACAAGUUCUGUUCAAAUCUUUAAAAGUGAUGAGCUUCAUUUAGUUCAAGUGUAGGUAAAGUUUUGUUUGCUUUUCCCCAAACCAAAAAAGCAGUUUGAGAUAACUUAAUGUUAUAAUCCUAAGAGGUUCAAGGUGGUGUUUUUGUCAACACAAGUAGAAUCUUGUAAUAUACACAUUACACUGUGAUGAAGUCAAACACAAUACAUUUUUUUCAGCAAC
This is a non-coding RNA of Manis javanica (Malayan pangolin), 844 nucleotides long. NCBI's taxonomy places the organism in Eukaryota, Metazoa, Chordata, Mammalia, Pholidota, Manidae. The record is from RefSeq and is a predicted model, not a curated record.